ACAAGCGGUGGAGCAUGUGGUUUAAUCGACGCAACGCGAAGAACCUUACCAGGGCUUGACAUCCCCUGACCGCGUAUGAAAGUACGUUUUCACCCUCGGGUGACAGGGAGACAGGUGGUGCAUGGUUGUCGUCAGCUCGUGUCGUGAGAUGUUGGGUUAAGUCCCGCAACGAGCGCAACCCCUACGUUUAGUUGCUAACAGGUGAAGCUGAGCACUCUAGACGAACUGCCGUUGACAAAACGGAGGAAGGUGGGAUGACGUCAAAUCAUCAUGCCCCUUAUGUUCUGGGCUACACACGUGCUACAAUGGCCGGUACAGACGGAGGCGAAGCCGCGAGGCGGAGCAAAUCCGAAAAGGCCGGUCUCAGUUCGGAUUGCAGGCUGCAAUUCGCCUGCAUGAAGUCGGAAUCGCUAGUAAUCGCAGGUCAGCAUACUGCGGUGAAUACGUUCCCGGGCCUU
This 458-nucleotide ribosomal RNA is filed under the name uncultured Pelotomaculum sp. RNAcentral's name for it is "bacterial SSU rRNA". It matches the Rfam family "Bacterial small subunit ribosomal RNA", at positions 925 to 1382 of the family's 1533-position model. Lineage: Bacteria; Bacillati; Bacillota; Clostridia; Eubacteriales; Desulfotomaculaceae. The record is from RNAcentral.